This 484-nucleotide ribosomal RNA is filed under the name uncultured bacterium. RNAcentral's name for it is "partial 16S ribosomal RNA". It matches the Rfam family "Bacterial small subunit ribosomal RNA", at positions 30 to 507 of the family's 1533-position model. The record is from RNAcentral.
AUUGAACGCUGGCGGCAGGCCUAACACAUGCAAGUCGAGCGGACGAAGCGAGCUUGCUCCUGGAUUCAGCGGCGGACGGGUGAGUCAUGCCUAGGAAUCUGCCUGGUAGUGGGGGAUAACGUCCGGAAACGGGCGCUAAUACCGCAUACGUCCUGUUGGAGACAGUGGGGGAUCUUCCGACCUCACGCUAUCAGAUUAGCCUAGGUCGGACUCGCUAGUUGGUGGGGUAAAGGCCUACCAAGGCGACGAUCCGUAACUGGUCUGAGAGGCUGAUCAGUCACACUGGAACUGAGAAACGGUCCAGACUCCUACGGGGGGCAGCAGUGGGGAAUAUUGGGCAAUGGGCGAAAGGCUGAUCCAGCCAAGCGGCGUGUGUGAAGAAGGUCUUCGGAUUGUAAAGCACUUUAAGUUGGGAGGAAGGGCAGUAAGUUAAUACCUUGCUGUUUUGACGUUACCAACAGAAUAAGCACCGGCUAACUUCGUG